This 484-nucleotide ribosomal RNA is filed under the name uncultured bacterium. RNAcentral's name for it is "partial 16S ribosomal RNA". It matches the Rfam family "Bacterial small subunit ribosomal RNA", at positions 30 to 507 of the family's 1533-position model. The record is from RNAcentral.
AUUGAACGCUGGCGGCAGGCCUAACACAUGCAAGUCGAGCGGAUGAAGGGAGCUUGCUCCUGGAUUCAGCGGCGGACGGGUGAGUAAUGCCUAUGAAUCUGCCUGGUAGUGGGGGAUAACGUCCGGAAACGGGCGCUAAUACCGCAUACGUCCUGUGGGAGAAAGUGGGGGAUCUUCGGACCUCACGCUAUCAGAUUAGCCUAGGUCGGAUUCGCUAGUUGGUGGGGUAAAGGCCUACCAAGGCGACGAUCCGUAACUGGUAUGAGAGGAUGAUCAGUCACACUGGAACUGAGACACGGUCCAGACUCCUACGGGAGGCAGCAGUGGGGAAUAUUGGACGAUGGGCGAAAGCCUGAUCCAGCCAUGCCGCGUGUGUGAAGAAGGUCUUCGGAUUGUAAAGCACUUUAAGUUGGGAGGAAGGGCAGUAAGUUAAUACCUUGCUGUUUUGACGUUACCAACAGAAUAAGCACCGGCUAACUUCGUG